Camelus ferus (Wild Bactrian camel) is the source of this 73-nucleotide transfer RNA. It matches the Rfam family "tRNA". From Rfam's summary of the family: Transfer RNA (tRNA) molecules are approximately 80 nucleotides in length. The record is from Rfam. NCBI's taxonomy places the organism in Eukaryota, Metazoa, Chordata, Mammalia, Artiodactyla, Camelidae.
GGAGGUAUAGCUCAAGUGGUAGAGCACAUGCUUAGCAUGCAUGCAGUCCCAGGUUCAAUCCCCAGUACCUCCU